AUCGUUCAACCCCGUUUGCCUUCAGUCUGACUUAGCUGACUCAAGCCACCACAUCUAGUAACCAAGUCUGCCAGCCUGCUAGCUCCGAGCUUCUAAUCCAUUCUUUAGCUAUCUACAUGUAGAUAUUUUCAUCCCGUCUGUAUGUAGUCGGAGCUUGUUGUCCAACAGGUCUCCCAACUAAUUUUAUUUUCCCUUACAAGGGAUCGAAUCCUAUUGUCGGACAACUGUUGCGAAGGAAUUUUUUUUUUUUUUUAAUUUUCGUUAACACAGGAGAGAUGUACCGAGGACUUACUUUAUUCACAGAUCGUCUGUCUUGGAUUGGAUUUACGAAACCCAGUUAAACCGUGUCGGAUUUCGGACUAUUAUACAAUCUUGUUUCAUCACCGAACCAUUCGGCUAUUUCUUUCAUAUUGGGACUUCGGAAAAAAUACCUAAAACCACUCACAAAAUAUAAAACAUUAAUUUUAUCUCAUACGGGAAAGGAGUUGAUAAAGUGUCAUGACGGAGGUAGCGCAGAUCCACACGGGGGUCCAUUGGGAACCUGGGCAGGCCCCCCAAUUGGUGGAAGAAGGUUUCGAUAGCGGAAGUAAUUCUUCCAAGCUGUUUGAGCGAUCGAGGAUCAAAGCUCUAGCAGAUGAGAGAGAGGCAGUGCAAAAAAAGACCUUUACAAAAUGGGUUAAUUCACACCUUGCCCGGGUUGGCUGUCGCAUAAGUGACUUGUAUUUGGAUUUACGAGAUGGGAAGAUGUUGAUAAAAUUGCUAGAAGUCCUAUCUGGUGAGCGCCUGCCUCGGCCAACAAAAGGGAAAAUGAGGAUUCAUUGCCUGGAAAAUGUAGAUAAAGCAUUGACAUUCCUGCAUGAACAAAAAGUCCAUCUUGAAAACAUGGGUGCUCAUGACAUAGUUGAUGGCAGUGCUAGACUUACUCUUGGUCUUAUAUGGACCAUUAUUCUUCGCUUCCAGAUCCAAGAUAUCAUUGAAGAGACAGAAAAUAGUGAAACCAAAUCUGCUAAAGACGCACUCUUGCUUUGGUGCCAGAUGAAAACUGCUGGCUACCCUAAUGUCAAUGUCAGAAAUUUCACUACCAGCUGGAGAGAUGGUUUAGCUUUUAAUGCCAUCAUUCACAAACACAGAUCUGACCUUAUCCAAUAUGACAGACUUCAGAAAUCUAAUGCCAUGCAUAAUCUCAACAAUGCGUUUACUGUCGCUGAAGAAAAGCUUGGCAUCACUAAGCUUUUGGAUCCUGAAGAUGUCAAUGUUGAGAUUCCUGAUGAGAAGUCCAUCAUUACAUACGUAGUCACCUACUACCAUUACUUCUCGAAAAUGAAGGCUGAAUCUGUUCAAGGCAAGAGAAUUGGCAGAGUCAUUGACAAUGCCAUUGAUACAGAAAAAAUGAUUGAAGAAUAUGAAACCUUAACAUCUGACCUCUUGGAAUGGAUUGAACAGACAAUAGUUAUUUUGAAUGACCGAAAAUUCGCCAACUCUUUAACUGGCGUGCAGGAGCAAUUGACAGGCUUUAACACCUACAGAACUGUCGAAAAACCACCAAAAUUUGUGGAGAAAGGAAACCUUGAGGUCCUCCUAUUCACACUCCAAAGUAAGAUGAGGGCAAACAACCAAAGACCCUAUUUACCCAGAGAAGGAAAACUGAUAUCUGACAUCAACAAAGCUUGGGACAAACUUGAGAAAGCUGAACAUGAACGAGAACUGGCUCUGCGUGAAGAACUGAUCCGACAAGAAAAACUUGAGCAAUUGGCUGCCCGAUUCAAUCGUAAGGCUGGCAUGCGAGAAGUUUGGCUCAGUGAGAACCAACGGUUGGUAUCUCAGGACAAUUUCGGCCAUGACCUUGCUGCUGUCGAGGCUGCUACCAAGAAACAUGAAGCAAUUGAGACUGACAUUAACGCAUAUGAAGAACGCGUCCAAGCAGUUAUUGCUGUGUCAAAUGAAUUGCAACAGGAAAAUUACCAUGACAUCAAUAGAAUUGCGGCAAGAAAAGACAAUGUUCUGAGUCUGUGGAACUAUCUUUUGGAAUUACUACGAGCACGUCGUAUGAGACUUGAACUUUCUCUGAACUUACAGAAGAUCUUCCAAGAGAUGCUUUACAUUCUUGAUUGGAUGGAAGAAAUUAAGGCCCGACUUAUGUCUUCAGACUAUGGUAAACAUCUGAUGGGAGUCGAAGACUUGUUGCAAAAGCACAGUUUGUUGGAGGCUGACAUUAAUGUAGUCGGAGACAGAGUCAAGACUGUAAAUUCCCAGGCUCAGAGAUUUGCUGAAGGUGACUUCGUAGAUGUUGGAGCGGAGUACAGGCCCUGCAAACCAGAAGUUAUUGUGGAAAGAAUGUCAACACUUGAGACAGCUUUCACUGAACUUAAACAACUAUCAGCUGAACGCAGGGCUCGCCUUGAAGAGUCACGUAAAUUAUGGCAGUUCUACUGGGAUAUGGCAGACGAGGAAGGUUGGGUGAAAGAGAAAGAGCAGUUGAUGUCAUCUCCUGAUCUGGGACAUGAUUUAACUAGUGUACACCUCCUACUGAACAAACAUAAAGCACUGGAAGAUGAAAUGACAGCCAGACACUCACACUUGCAGUCAGUCAUCCAAGUUGGCAAUGAUCUCAUUUCUGCCGGAAAUUUCGGUGCAGACAAGAUCCAAGAACGCAUAGAUGAGAUUAACCAGCAGUGGGAGAGUUUGAUUGACCUGGCAGCAUAUCGCAAACGCAGACUCAAUGAGGCUGUUGAUUACUAUCAGUUCUUUGCUGAUGCUGAUGACAUUGACAUCUGGAUGUUGGAUACUUUCCGUAUCGUGUCCAGUGAAGAUGUCGGACGUGAUGAGGCCAGCGUACAAUCUCUGCUUAAGAAACACAAGGAUGUUACAGAUGAGCUCAAAAACUACCAGAGUGUCAUUGAAAGUCUCCAUGAGCAAGCAACUAACCUUGGAGAACAAGACCGAGAGUCUGAUGACGUACAGAGUCGAUUAGGUAGCAUUGAUCGCCGUUACCAAGAACUAUUGGAGCUUGCCAAACUUCGCAAGCAACGGUUGCUUGAUGCCCUCUCUCUCUAUAAACUUUUCAAUGAAGCAGAUGGUGUGCAGACUUGGAUUGAUGAGAAGGAGAAAUUCCUUGCAACAAUUGUUAUUACGGAUGAUAUCGAAGAACUUGCUAUUGUUAAACAUCGCUUUGAAAGUUUCGAACAUGAAAUGAACUCUACGGCAUCCAAGGUUGCAGUGGUGAACCAGCUGGCUCGGCAGUUGCUCCAAGUUGAACAUCCUAAUGCUGCUGAUGUCAUUGCUCGACAGAAUCAGCUGAACCAAGAAUGGAACACCUUGAGGUCGCUGGUUGACCAGAAGAGGGAAGAAAUACAUUUAGCUCAUGGGCUGCAGAACUUCCACAUUGAAUGCAAUGAGACGAUUGGCUGGAUAAACGAAAAGGUGAAAAUUAUCGAAUCAACUGAAGAACUUGGCAAUGAUUUAGCUGGUGUUAUGACACUACAGAGACGGCUCAGUGGUAUGGAACGAGACCUUGCUGCCAUACAAGCCAAGGUUGAAUCGUUGCAAGUGGAAGCAGAUAGACUACAAGAAACCAAACCUGAAGAAGCCCAGGCUAUUCGUGAAAAGAUCAAUGACAUCAACAAUGUAUGGAUGGAUCUCAAAGAAAUGCUCAAAGAUAGGGAUGAAAAACUUGGUGAGGCCGGCGAAUUGCAACGCUUCCUUGGUAACCUCGACCAUUUCCAGCAAUGGUUAUCUCGUACUCAGACAACUGUGGCAUCAGAAGACAUUCCCAACAAUCUGGCUGAUGCUGAGAAAUUAUUAAAUCAACACCAACAGCUUAAAGAUGAAAUUGAUGCUUAUGCCCCAGAAUAUGCUAAGAUGAAAGAGUUUGGUGAUAAAGUCACUGAGGGCCAGGAUGAUCCCCAGUAUAUGUUUCUGCGACAGCGUCUUCAAGCACUUGAUGGCGGCUGGCAGGAAUUGUUACAGAUGUGGGAGAAUAGACAGCAGCUUCUUUCUCAGAGUCUCAACUUGCAAAUGUUCCUCAGGGAUGCCAAACAAGCUGAGGUACUCCUCAACCAACAAGAGAACUUCCUAUCAAAAGAAGAAGUACCUAGUGCCAUUGGACUUGACAAGCAGAACUCGUUGGAAGCUGCUGAAAAUAUCAUUAAAAAACAUGAAGCAUUUAUCACCACAAUGGAUGCAAAUGAUGAGAAAAUUAACAACGUCUUGCAAUUUGGACAAAGACUCAUCGAAGACAACAACCAUGCUGCUGACAAAAUCAGCAAAAAAGCAGAAAACAUCAACGAAAGGCGUAAUGCAAACAGGCAGCGUGCAUAUGAACAACUGGAACGCCUUAAAGACCAGAGAAUGCUACAACAGUUCUUCCAAGACUGUGAAGAAUUACGAGACUGGCUUCAAGAUAAAAUGUCAGCUGCUCAAGAUGAGACUUAUCGUGAUGCUAAAAACCUGCACAGCAAAUAUAUGCGACAUCAAGCAUUUGAAUCUGAAAUUGCAGCUAAUAAAGAUCGUCUUUUGAAACUUCGUGAGGCUGGUGAAGGUUUGUUGAAAGAUAAACCCGAAGCUGCUGAGCAGGUUGGUCCCGUUCUUGAGGGUCUCAGCAAUCAAUGGGAAGAGCUCGAGAACACCACGAAGGACAAGGGUGAGCGGUUGUUUGAUGCCAAUCGCUCGGUCCUCUAUGAACAGAGCUGUGAUGACAUUGAUGGUUGGAUUCAACAGCUGGAAUCCCAAGUUGUUACUGAAGAAUUUGGUAGAGAUUUAACCACUGUCAAUAUUCAAAUGCAGAGGCAAAAUCAAUUGGAAAGCCAGAUGAAGUGUAAAGAGAACCAAGUGCAAGAGCUUGAUAAACAAGCUAAUUACCUGAAAACUAUGGAUCCUAAUAAGGAGGCUGAAAUAGAAGCUCGCAAAGUGGCGGUUGCUGAGCGGUUCAUGAAAAUUCAGGCGCCUUUGUUAGUACGACGAUCUCAACUUGAGAGAGUCAAACGAAUUCAUCAGUUUCAGCGUGAUAUUGAAGAUGAAAAAAUGUGGGUUGAAGAAAAGAUGCCCCUGGCAACCUCUGGCAACUAUGGCAACAGCCUUCUUAGUGUUCAGUUACUAAUGAAGAAAACACACUCAUUGCAAACAGAAAUUGAAAACCACGAACCCCGUAUUGAUUCUGUUAUUGCUGUUGGCCAAGAAUUGGUUAAUGAACAACAUCCACAAGCUGACGAAUUCCAACAACACAUUGAUGACCUUAGCACUAAGUGGAAAACUCUAAAGGAUGCUGUGGACGCAAGGAAAGCUCGCCUACAGCUCUCAGAUAUUGCCCAACAGUACUAUCAAGAUACUUCUGAGGCAGAAUCUUGGAUGAGUGAACAAGAACUUUACAUGAUGGGUGAGGAACGGGCCAAAGAUGAAAUUGGUGCACAGAAUAUGCUUAAGAAACACCAGAAUCUCGAAUCCGCUGUUGAGGACUAUGCAGAUGUUGUCCGCCAGUUGGGUGAGAGAAGCAGAAAUUUGAUUGAACAAGAACACCCAGAAAGUGAACAAAUUGCUGUUCGCCAAGCACAAGUGGACAAGCUCUAUGCUGGUCUGAAAGAUUUGGCCCAAGAACGUCGUGGCAAGCUUGAAGAGGUGCUGAAAUUAUAUAUGCUAAGUAGAGAAAUUGAAGACUUAUUACAAUGGAUUGCAGAAAGAGAAGUUGUAGCAAAAUCUCAAGAACUUGGUCAAGAAUACGAGCAUGUAACUACUCUUAAAGAAAGAUUUAAAGAAUUUGCUAGAGACACUGAAAACUUUGGACAAGAUCGUGUGGCCUCAGCAAAUGAAAUCUGUGAUAGUUUGAUUGUAGCUGAGCACUCUGAUGCUCCAAUUAUUGCUCAAUGGAAAGAUAAUUUGAACGAAGCCUGGACCGAUUUGCUAGAGUUAAUAGACACCCGCACACAGAUGUUGCAAGCUUCAUGGGAAUUAUGGAAGUUUAACCACGAUUGCAAAGAAACUCUGGAAAGAAUCCAAGAAAAGAAGAAUUACAUACCUGAAGAAGUUGGAAGAGAUGCUCAAAGUGUUGCUGUUCUUCAAAGAAAGAAUGCUAACUUUGAACACGAUUUAGUUACUCUUGGAAAUCAAGUUCAUUUAAUUCAAGAGGAAUCAGCUUGCCUUCAAAUUGGAUAUGCCGGAGAGAAGGCGCGAGAGAUUCAGAAUUGGGAAUCUGAUGUGGUUAAUGCCUGGCGUAAUUUGCAAUUAAUGGUUGAGAGCCGACGAAUGAGACUUGCUGAUGCCAGUGACCUUUAUAGAUUCUUUAAUAUGGUCAGAGACCUGAUGUUAUGGAUUGAUGACAUCAGGCGGCAAAUGAGCACUCAAGAAAAACCAAGAGAUGUGUCGGGUGUAGAGUUGUUAAUGAACAACCAUCAAAGUUUGAAGGCUGAAAUCGAUGCUAGAGAAGAAAACUUUGCCAUUUGUAUAAACUUAGGAAGAGAUCUUAUAACUCGCAAACAUUACCGAUCCAGUGAAGUGAGAGAAAAAUUAAUACAGUUAACAUCUCAAAGGCAUUCCAUGAAUGAGCAAUGGGAUGAGAGAUGGGAAUACCUGCAGCUCAUUUUGGAAGUCUAUCAGUUUGCUCGUGAUGCUGCUGUUGCUGAAUCUUGGCUUAUUGCUCAAGAGCCAUACCUUCAAAACCAAGAUCUUGGUGACACACUUGAUGCAGUUGAAAAUCUUAUUAAGAAACACGAGGCCUUUGAAAAAUCUGCAGCAACUCAAGAAGAACGAUUUGCUGCCCUCGAAAAACUUACAACAUUUGAACUUAAAGAAAUUCAAAGAAGGCAAGAAGAAGAAUAUCGACAACAACAUCCUGAAGAAGUAGAAAAAUCUAAAGAAGAGAAGAGACGAAAAUAUAUUGCAGAAUUUGUACCUCCAGAAGAGCCACCCGAGCCAGAACCAGAAGAAGUUGUAUCAACUGAACCAGAAGAUGGUGAGGCAACAUCAGACGAUCAAGGACCAGCUGCUAUGACCAAUGGAGAGAAAGAAGUAACUGAUGAAUCAGGUCAAACUGUGACCCACACCACACCACCAGCUAAAGACACACUGAGACCAGUAGCCAAAGAUAAGGAGAAGAAACGAUCACGUUCCAAAUCACCAUUUGGAAGAUUCUUUGCUCGUAAACGUGAAGAUGAAGGUCCGUCAUCACCUAGUCGUUCAGAACAUCAAUUAGCUGGAGCCCCAGAAGCAGAACAUCUUGAAGGAGCAUUAAUCAGAAAACACGAGUGGGAAACACAAACCAAAAAAGCUUCCAACCGAUCUUGGGAGAAAGCUUACAUCAUACUUCAAGCAAAUGAACUUUCCUGCUAUAAAGACUUCAAACAUGCAAAGACUGAUCCUAAUACACGCCUUCAUCAUGAAACUGCCAUCAAUUUGAGUGGAGCUACCUGUGAUCGAGCUCACGAUUACACCAAACGUCCUCAUGUGUUCCGUCUAAAAUUGGCCGGUGGUGCUGAAUACCUAUUCCAAUGUAAAGAUGAUGCUGAAAUGGAGAAUUGGAUCACAAAAGUAAGUGCAGCAACUGGAGAAGCCAGCAGUAGCGGUCCCACUAGAUCCCAAACACUCCCUGCAAAACCAGACGGUGAACCAAAACGAGAUGAACACAAGCGAAGGAGUUUUUUCACAUUGAAAAAGAAAUAAAUAUCCACAAAAAGAUAAAUUCAUUGCAGUCCUUUCACACAUGCUUUGGGUGGAAUAUCUGAAGAGGCUACGCUGUUGCUGCUUUUGCUGCCAGAACAACAAUCUUUGAUGCAGCAUAGUUUUUCAGCAGCAGCAACAAUUUUGUCCCAAAACCAAACAAAAAACAGCAAAAAAAAAAAAAAAAAAAUCUAUAUAUAUAUAAAUAUAUAAACUGUGGCAUUCCAUCUAUGCAAAACUGGACUCAAACCAACAACCAACUACAGUGGAUUGAACAACAACAAAACUAUGAACUUCUGAAAUAUUAAAGUAACCAUAUUAAAAAACAUUACAGAUAUUUUGCCUUUCAAAUUAAAGCCUCUUCUAUAAAUUGAAUGACUGUACAGAGAAAUUGUGUGUGUGUGAGUGAGCGUGCGCCUGUAUGAGGAAAUAAAGAAAAAUUCCAAUAAAUUAGCCUGAGAUGUAUAAUGCGCCUAAAAGAAUUUCACCCAUUUACUUAGACUAAUUAAUUCUGCCUAAUAACUUGGAGGUAUAACUGACUUAUCUGUUAAACUAUGAAGAAUGAGUCUAAUGUAAGAAAGUUGUAUCCAAGACAAGCUGAAUGUAUAUUUGCAUCACAGUGUGUCAUCUCUCUCCCCCCCCCCAAAAGAACACACUGACGUCUGUAUGUUUAUAUGUGGCAUGUGUGUAUGUCAAGAAGAUAUUGUCCUGAUGCUUUUUGCCUAAAUUGCUGGCUUACUCCUUUUGCUGGUUGAUUCAUGUGCAGCUGCCAAGUGCUUGCAACCUGUAACAGACAAGAGAAAAUAAAAACAACCAAAUAACAUUUGGUUUAAUCUUACAUAUAGUAUCAAUUUACCUGUUUGUGUUUGCUUUUGACGACGACAAUUGUUAUAGGGAUUUCCAAUAUAUUUAUAGUACAAUGGACUUAGCUGGAAAAAAAACAAAUUGGACACAUAUUUCACAUUAGGCAGCUUCUUAAUAUAUUUUCUUCACUUUUUAGAAAGAGGUUAGAAAGAAAAUUUCCCUUCCCUUUUCCCGAAAUUGCAAAUAUUUUAUUUUUAUUAUACGUUAAAUUUUAAAAAAACGGAAACAAAUUCCUGUUUUGCUUUUAAAAAGAAAUUUUUUUGAUAUCAAUAACCGUUUCAUUACUUGUCGACAUAUUUAAAAAAACUUUCCACAACACUUUAAGAAUUUAACAACUGUUCAAUUUAAAUUAAGGGAAAUGAAAAAAUAUAAAAAUUAUGUGGUGUUGUCAAAAUUCUUUGGAGUGCAUUUCUAUUCUUUGCUCUCAUAACAAAACAGCUGUUUAAUAAUCUGGACGGGAAUUUUCUUGUACCUCUUUCCAUUUCUCCAUUAACUCUAAGCAAUGAAGAAAAUAUAUGUUGAUCUGCAGCUUAAAUGUGGUCACUUUAGCUAAAAAACUGACACAGAUAUUUGUAUAAGUUAUUAUUAUUAUUGUCCAUAAUUGUGAUGUAAAUUAUUCUUAAACCCAAACUUCUUCCUCCAGACGUAGCCAGUUU
Molecule: unclassified non-coding RNA, 9164 nt
Filed under: Octopus sinensis (East Asian common octopus)
Lineage: Eukaryota; Metazoa; Mollusca; Cephalopoda; Octopoda; Octopodidae
Description: spectrin beta chain, transcript variant X4
Source: RNAcentral